AAUUAAAUAAACUUUUUUUUAAUGGUUAUAUUUAUAAAUAAAUUAUUGAUCCUUAAUUUAAGAUUAGAAGAUUAAAUUACCUUAGGGAUAACAGCGUAAUUUUUUUUAAGAGUUCAAAUUAAAAAAAAAGAUUGCGACCUCGAUGUUGGAUUAAAAUAAAUAAUUGGUGUAGAGGCUAAUUUAUUAGGUCUGUUCGACCUUUAAAAUUUUACAUGAUCUGA
RNAcentral lists this ribosomal RNA (221 nucleotides) under Semnorhynchus cayennensis. RNAcentral describes it as "partial 16S ribosomal RNA". The stretch from base 87 to 221 matches the Rfam family "Bacterial large subunit ribosomal RNA", at positions 2473 to 2608 of the family's 2925-position model. The record is from RNAcentral. Lineage: Eukaryota; Metazoa; Arthropoda; Insecta; Coleoptera; Curculionidae.